UCCAUGANGCAGCAGGCGCGUAAAUUACCCAAUGUGGACUCCACGAGGUAGUGACGAGAAAUAUCAAUGCGGGGCGCUUCGCGUCUUGCUAUUGGAAUGAGAGCAAUGUAAAACCCUCAUCGAGGAUCAACUGGAGGGCAAGUCUGGUGCCAGCAGCCGCGGUAAUUCCAGCUCCAGAAGCGUAUGCUAAAGUUGUUGCAGUUAAAAAGCUCGUAGUUGAAUUUCUGGUGUGGGAGCCCAGGCCUCGGUGCGAAUGCGCCUUGUCUUGCCUUGCGGCUCCUUUGCCAUCCUCGUUUUUCUUUUGAAGAACGUCAUUCACUGUAAUCAAAGCAGAGUGUUCCAAGCAGGCCGUAGGGCCGGUAUGUUUAUUAUGGGAUGAUCAGAUAGGACUCGGGUGCUAUUUUGUUGGUUUGCACAUCUGAGUAAUGAUUAAUAGGAACAGUCGGGGGUAUCCGUAUUUAGGAGCUAGAGGUGAAAUUCUUGGAUUUCCGAAAGACGAACUACAGCGAAGGCAUUUACCAAGCAUGUUUUCAUUAAUCAAGAACGAAAGUCUGGGGAUCGAAGAUGAUUAACUCNNCNCUNA
RNAcentral lists this ribosomal RNA (583 nucleotides) under Thraustochytriidae sp. ANACC TC_024. RNAcentral describes it as "bacterial SSU rRNA". It matches the Rfam family "Eukaryotic small subunit ribosomal RNA", at positions 415 to 1022 of the family's 1831-position model. The record is from RNAcentral. Lineage: Eukaryota; Bigyra; Thraustochytrida; Thraustochytriidae.